CACGCGCUGGGGCACGCCUCUCUCAUGGUUGGCCGCGGCCCGGAGCCCUAGCGCCUCAGCGUUUGUUUCCGCCGCGCGCGGAUGCCCUAGCACAGGUGACCGGGGCCGGCCUCUGGCUUUUUUUCCUCUCCCUGACGGGGCCCGAGGUUGCGGGGCGGGACCCAGGAGAGGCGAGGAGGAGGAAGAGGAGGAAGGCUUUGGCCCUGGCAUGAGGUAAAUGGCCGGCCCGCCGCCGAGACCUCGACUUCCAGCCCACAGAAUGGGGGCAGCGAGCUGGGGCGGCCCCACCGCGCGGGAGUGCCGAGGAAGGAGAUUCCUUGGAAUGAAACCAAUGGGAGUCCGGGGUUUAGGAGAGUCUCAUCAGAGCAGAUGGGCCCGCAGCCGCCAGAAAGCUUGUUGCCUUUGGCUGGAGCACCAUCCUGGAAAUGAACGUCUUAUGGGGAUACUAAGACCCAAGGAGAGGAAUGGAGUUGAUGUGGACAUUCCGUGGAACCCAGAGGCAACUCAGGCCAUGGUGAGUUUGUCAAUUCUGAAUCCAGUCACUACGCAGGCAGGGGCCAGGUCACCUGCAGCAGGGCCUCAGGAGGAGGAGGGGCCCGGGCUUACUUGUCUGUGCCAAGCCCUGUCCUGUCUCCCGUGUGAUGCUGCAGGCGUCCACCCCUCCAUCUAAUACCCCGCCAUAGCAGUGCCCUGAGCCAGGCACUAUUCCGGGCACUCUACAAAUAGUUCCUCACGUCGUUCCUCAGUGAAUGGGACUGCAGUAAUUCUGACACUUUCCUAAGAGAAUGUUCUUCCCUGGGUUGCAGCCCUGGUGCAUUUCUGUAAACAGCAACAUUCUCUCACUUUGGCUCGCUAAGCCUCCUUUGUGAAAAUGGAACAGAGAACCCCAGACUGGGGAGCACUGCCCCAAAGAAUCAGGCGUGGAGACUGCAGGGAGGCGGGCUGUGGCAAGAGCUCCCCAGCGGAGCUGUGGGUGGGAGAAGUGGGCUGCCGCAGGUGGGCUGGCUUCCUGGUGCUUGAGGCGAUCCGCUGAGGCGCCCGGUCACGGGGAUGGUGUGGAGCUCCUGGCCCCGGGCCGGCUGCCCUGGUGGACUUUCAGCUCCGCUGCAGCAGAGUGGUGCGGCUGCCGCAGGAGAGUGCAGCUUCAUUGGUACUUAGCGAACUGGUGAGCCGGGAUGGGUUCUAGGAACACAAUGUGGAAGCCCCUGGGUCAUCCAGUUGCUGACUUCUGCAGAGAAGGGAGCCCAUGACGGGGAGCCUUAUACUACAAGGAAAGCCUCUUGUGGGGACAGGAACAAAACAUCCCUGAAAAGCACUGGUCCAGGAGCGCAGGGGACGUCCCUGAUGGGAGUCCUAACCCGGCCUUCCACCAGGGAGCACGGGGACAGCUGUCACUGCCUGCCUUCUCAGUGUUUCAGCACACACACACAUGUAUUAAAAAUAUCAAACAGAUCAAUUCUGAUUUUCAAAAGAAACCUCCUGAGGCUGAGAGCUCUAGAUCCGGGGGCCCAGGGAGCUGGGCAGCCCAAGGCCUGGGCUGUGUGUCACACAGUUUCACCCUGGCCUCCUGGACGCCCGAGGUAGGCCAUUCGAGCACUGCAUCUGGUCCCAUGGAGCUGAGAGGUGUCACAGCACACAGGUGCCAGAGCCCCUGCGAGCCCCAUCCCUGCACCGGCAGGUCACAGGUCACAGGCCCUGGACCACCCUUCCUAAAAAAAUUCCUCUGAUAUUGGGAACUCACCCUAUGGUCCAAGAAUGAGAGUAAUUCAAAAAAGUCAUGGAAAUUGAACUAAAAGAUGUUUAUUUUGGUGUAAAACAUUUUGAAAUCCAUGCAUAUAAUGCAUUAUCAAAAAAUUUGUGGAAAAUUCAUAUUAUGAAAAAACUAUGCAUGGAUUUAAAUGAUUUUUUUGCAUCAAAAUAUAUAUAUAUAUAUAUUUUUUUUUUUUUUGACAGGCAGAUUUAGACAGAGAGAGAGAGAAAGAAAGAAAGGUCUUCCUUUCCAUUGGUUCAUCCCCCCAAAUGGCCGCCAUGGCUGGCGCACUGCGCUGAUCCGAAGCCAGGAGCCAGGUGCUUCCUCCUGGUCUCCCAUGUGGGUGCAGGGCCCAAGCACUUGGGCCAUCCUCCACUGCCUUCCCAGGCCACAGCAGAGAGCUGGACUGGAAGAGGAGCAAUAGGGACAGAAUCCAGCGCCCCAACCGGGACUAGAACCUGGGGUGCCGGUGCUGCAGGCGGAAGAUUAGCCAAGUGAGCUGCGGUGCCAGCCCAUCAAAAUAUAUUUUCAAAAAAAUAUUUAAAAGGCAGAACAAAAGAGAAAGAGAGGCAGGGGAGAGAGAGAUAUAAGUCUUCCAUUCACUGGUUCACUUCCCAAAAGUCUACAACAGCCAAGGCUGGGCCUGGCUGAAGCCAGAAGCUGGAAAGUCCUUCUGAGUCUCCCACUUGGCACAGGGGCCCAAGCACUAUGGCUUUCCAGGCCAUAGCAGGGAGCUGGAUUAUAAGUGGAGAUGCUGGGACUCAAACCAGCACUCUGAUAUGGGAUGCCAAGGUCACAAGCCAAGUGGCAGCUUAACCUUCAACACCAGCCCCUAAAAUUAUCUUUUAAAUUCAUUUUCCCAGGGCUGGUGCUGUGGCAUAGUGGGUAAAGCCGCCGCCUGCAGUGCCGGCAUCCCAUCUGGGCUCUGGUUUGAGUCCCAGCUGCUCCACUUCCAAUCCAGCUCUCUGCUAUGGCCUAGAAAAGCAGUGGAAGAUGGCCCAAGUGCUUGGGCCCCUGCACCCACGUGGGAGACCCAGCAGAAGCUCUUGGCUUCGGAGUGGCACAGCUCUGGCUGUUGCAGCCAUCUGGGGAGUGACCCAAUGGAUGGAAGACCUUGCCUCUACAACUCUGCCUUUCAAAUAAGUAUUUUUUUUAAUUCAUUUUCCCACAACCUUUUAAAAGUACCCUUUUAUACCCAUGAUGCUAGGUAGGAUUUUGUUUCUCUGAGGAGAGGCUGCAGCUUUUGUGAGUCUUCCAGAAGAGUUGGUGACCCACAAGGAAAACCUAACUCCUCACACCCUCCCUGGCUGCCCAGUCCAUCUGUCACCUGGCAGCCCAGCUACCUCUCCUUGGCUCAGUGCCCACAGGCUCACUCUGCCUCAGGGCCGCUGCCCCUAACCACAUGCCACCAACAUCCUGCCCAGCCCGCCCCUCCAAAGUCAGCGCAGGUCACCACAAAGGACCUCCGUCCUUGGCACCCGCGGAGACCAGUGUGAGAGACAGGAGGCCAUGGUACAAAAGUCCCCGGUAGAAGUCUGUGUCACUAGCCCUGGGAUUCCCAGCCUCAGCUCUGACCUGGCUCCCUCCGGGAAGCCCUGCCCCAGCCCAACAGGUCCCCUGCACAUGGGAGAGCAGACGGAUUGUUCUAAAGUUGAAUCCCCAAAAUACCGGUGGGUAGUGCAGGCCUGGGGCUAGGCCUCUAAGGCAUCUCUCAGGGUGGGCCUUUCCCAGUGGAGCAGAGGACAGAGGCCGGGCUCCGAGCCGUGAGGGAGUCAGCCAGCCAGAGCCUGCGAGUUCUUCCACAUCUCCGCUCAUCCUCAGGAGCCCCCACAUGGCCACCUCUGGGUGCCCAGAAAAGGGAGGGGACCUGAGGGCCAGGAAUCCAUCCACACAGGGAGACAGGAGGGUCAUCACGUUGCCCAGCCACAGUGCCGCGCUGUGAGGAUGAAGACACUGCUCGCACACCCUUCAGCCUCCGACCACUCUGCCGGUGGGGACGAGAACGGUCAUCAGCCCAGCAGAGGCCUCGCCGAGCACGGCUCGGAUGGCCCGAGGCCGGCUCUGGAGGUCACGGGAUUCAGACGUGCAGAUCGGGUGGGGGAGGGUGGGGAGGGUGUGUGUGUGUGAGGGGUCAGGCCCAGGGCUCCAAGCCUCCAGUGGCUUAAGAAAGAACUGAAUCCUUGGCCGGCGCCGCUGCUCACUAGGCUAAUCCUCCGCCUAGCGGCGCCGGCACACCGGGUUCUAGUCCCGGUCGGGGCGCUGGAUUCUGUCCCAGUUGCCCCUCUUCCAGGCCAGCCCUCUGCUGUGGCCAGGGAGUGCAGUGGAGGAUGGCCCAGGUGCUUGGACCCUGCACCCCAUGGGAGACCAGGAAAAGCACCUGGCUCCUGGCUCCUGCCAUCGGAUCAGCGCGGUGCGCUGGCCGCAGCGCGCCGGCCGCGGCGGCCAUUGGAGGGUGAACCAACGGCAAAGGAAGACCUUUCUCUCUGUCUCUCUCUCUCACUGUCCACUCUGCCUGUCAAAAAAAAAAAAAAAAAAAAAAAAGAAAGAAAGAAC
This is a non-coding RNA of Oryctolagus cuniculus (rabbit), 4303 nucleotides long. Lineage: Eukaryota; Metazoa; Chordata; Mammalia; Lagomorpha; Leporidae. The record is from RefSeq and is a predicted model, not a curated record.